AUGCCAUGGUGUGGACAUGCUUCAAUGUAUUCCUGGAGACGAUCCCAGGCUUCCGGGACUAUUUCAUCCUAGAGUUGUUGAUAACUAGAAAUCCUGUUCCGAAAGAC
Molecule: small nucleolar RNA, 107 nt
Organism: Panicum virgatum (switchgrass)
Lineage: Eukaryota; Viridiplantae; Streptophyta; Magnoliopsida; Poales; Poaceae
Source: RefSeq, a predicted model, not a curated record